RNAcentral lists this ribosomal RNA (688 nucleotides) under Bacillus siamensis. RNAcentral describes it as "bacterial SSU rRNA". It matches the Rfam family "Bacterial small subunit ribosomal RNA", at positions 45 to 717 of the family's 1533-position model. The record is from RNAcentral. Lineage: Bacteria; Bacillati; Bacillota; Bacilli; Caryophanales; Bacillaceae.
UGCUAUACAUGCAAGUCGAGCGGACAGAUGGGAGCUUGCUCCCUGAUGUUAGCGGCGGACGGGUGAGUAACACGUGGGUAACCUGCCUGUAAGACUGGGAUAACUCCGGGAAACCGGGGCUAAUACCGGAUGGUUGUUUGAACCGCAUGGUUCAGACAUAAAAGGUGGCUUCGGCUACCACUUACAGAUGGACCCGCGGCGCAUUAGCUAGUUGGUGAGGUAACGGCUCACCAAGGCGACGAUGCGUAGCCGACCUGAGAGGGUGAUCGGCCACACUGGGACUGAGACACGGCCCAGACUCCUACGGGAGGCAGCAGUAGGGAAUCUUCCGCAAUGGACGAAAGUCUGACGGAGCAACGCCGCGUGAGUGAUGAAGGUUUUCGGAUCGUAAAGCUCUGUUGUUAGGGAAGAACAAGUGCCGUUCAAAUAGGGCGGCACCUUGACGGUACCUAACCAGAAAGCCACGGCUAACUACGUGCCAGCAGCCGCGGUAAUACGUAGGUGGCAAGCGUUGUCCGGAAUUAUUGGGCGUAAAGGGCUCGCAGGCGGUUUCUUAAGUCUGAUGUGAAAGCCCCCGGCUCAACCGGGGAGGGUCAUUGGAAACUGGGGAACUUGAGUGCAGAAGAGGAGAGUGGAAUUCCACGUGUAGCGGUGAAAUGCGUAGAGAUGUGGAGGAACACCAGUGGCG